Molecule: ribosomal RNA, 775 nt
Filed under: uncultured Neocallimastigales
Lineage: Eukaryota; Fungi; Neocallimastigomycota; Neocallimastigomycetes; Neocallimastigales
Description: partial large subunit ribosomal RNA
Rfam family: Eukaryotic large subunit ribosomal RNA
Source: RNAcentral
CGCAUCUGUGCAUGCAGCAUAUCAAUAAGCGGAGGAAAAGAAACUAACAAGGAUUCCCCUAGUAACAGGCGAGUGAAGCGGGAAGAGCUCAAAUUUGAAAUCUUAAAGGGUUUCCCUUUACGAAUUGUAGUUUAAAGAAGUGUUUUCUGUUGAGGUUUUGGUAAAAGUUCUUUGGAAUAGGACAUCAUAGAGGGUGAGAAUCCCGUAUUUGACCUUUACUUUCAACUUUGUGAUACACUUUCAAAGAGUCGGAUUGUUUGGGAAUGCAGUCCAAAAUGGGUGGUAAAUUUCAUCUAAAGCUAAAUAUUGGCGAGAGACCGAUAGCGAACAAGUACCGUGAGGGAAAGAUGAAAAGAACUUUGAAAAGAGAGUUAAACAGUACGUGAAAUUGUCAAAAGGGAAGCGUUUGACACCAGUGUUGUUUUUCUGAAAAUCAAUUAAAGAACUGUUUAUGCUAAGCUGUUUAGACUUUAUCAGCUAUCUGUUUAGUUUUGAGCUUUUCUUUAAUGCACUUUUCAGUUAACAAGUCAACAUCAAUUUCUUUUGCUGUAAAAAAGCUUGAGGAAGGUGGCUUGAGAUUCGUCUUAAGUGUUUAUAGCCUCUUGCCUAUGCAGUCGGAGAGAUUGAGGUCUGCAGCGUAGAUCCUUCGGGGCUAAAUGCAUUUGUGCUAAGUUAUAGCAUUUUAUAGACAACUUGUUGACUAUGAUUUGUCUUGUAGCUUACUCGCUUAUGUUAUUUUACCUACGCUUAGGAUGUUGAGUCGUAGAGCACGCAG